RNAcentral lists this ribosomal RNA (255 nucleotides) under Burkholderia cenocepacia. RNAcentral's name for it is "partial 16S ribosomal RNA". It matches the Rfam family "Bacterial small subunit ribosomal RNA", at positions 872 to 1124 of the family's 1533-position model. The record is from RNAcentral. Lineage: Bacteria; Pseudomonadati; Pseudomonadota; Betaproteobacteria; Burkholderiales; Burkholderiaceae.
CCUGGGGAGUACGGUCGCAAGAUUAAAACUCAAAGGAAUUGACGGGGACCCGCACAAGCGGUGGAUGAUGUGGAUUAAUUCGAUGCAACGCGAAAAACCUUACCUACCCUUGACAUGGUCGGAAUCCCGCUGAGAGGUGGGAGUGCUCGAAAGAGAACCGGCGCACAGGUGCUGCAUGGCUGUCGUCAGCUCGUGUCGUGAGAUGUUGGGUUAAGUCCCGCAACGAGCGCAACCCUUGUCCUUAGUUGCUACGCA